GAGCCGAGCGGUGCGGAGCAGAUCUGGUGGUUCUCCAGAGAGCAGCUUCCUCGGGUGUUACAUGAGCCAAGCCCUCACUGUACAGAAGAGUGAGAGCUGAAACCUGUUCCCUGAGCUGAUCAGAAGAACAUCCCUUGGCCCCUUCAUCUGGGCUCCUGUGGAUAGGAGGGGCUGGGUGAGCAGGCCAGCUGGGCUAUGGUGUGGUGCCUCGGCCUGGCCGUCCUCAGCCUGGUCAUCAGCCAGGGGGCUGACGGUCGAGGGAAGCCUGAGGUGGUAUCGGUGGUGGGCCGGGCUGGGGAGAGUGUGGUGCUGGGCUGUGACCUGCUGCCCCCCGCCGGCCGGCCCCCCCUGCAUGUCAUCGAGUGGCUGCGCUUUGGAUUCCUGCUUCCCAUCUUCAUCCAGUUUGGCCUCUACUCUCCCCGAAUUGACCCUGAUUACGUGGGACGAGUCCGGCUGCAGAAGGGGGCCUCUCUCCAGAUUGAGGGUCUCCGGGUGGAAGACCAGGGCUGGUACGAGUGCCGCGUGUUCUUCCUGGACCAGCACAUCCCUGAAGAUGAUUUUGCUAACGGCUCCUGGGUGCAUCUGACAGUCAAUUCGCCCCCUCAAUUCCAGGAGACACCUCCUGCUGUGUUGGAAGUGCAGGAACUGGAGCCUGUGACCCUGCGUUGUGUGGCCCGCGGCAGCCCCCUGCCUCGUGUGACGUGGAAGCUCCGAGGAAAGGACCUUGGCCAGGGCCAGGGCCAGGUGCAAGUGCAGAACGGGACGCUGCGGAUCCGCCGGGUAGAGCGAGGCAGCUCUGGGGUCUACACCUGCCAAGCCUCCAGCACUGAGGGCAGCGCCACCCACGCCACCCAGCUGCUAGUGCUAGGACCCCCAGUCAUCGUGGUGCCCCCCAAGAACAGCACAGUCAAUGCCUCCCAGGAUGUUUCCUUGGCCUGCCACGCUGAGGCAUACCCCACUAACCUCACCUACAGCUGGUUCCAGGACAACAUCAAUGUCUUCCACAUUAGCCGCCUGCAGCCCCGGGUGCGGAUCCUGGUGGACGGGAGCCUGCGGCUGCUGGCCACCCAACCUGAUGAUGCCGGCUGCUACACCUGUGUGCCCAGCAAUGGCCUCCUGCAUCCACCCUCAGCCUCUGCCUACCUCACUGUGCUCUACCCAGCCCAGGUGACAGCUAUGCCUCCUGAGACACCCCUGCCCAUAGGCAUGCCGGGGGUGAUCCGCUGCCCGGUUCGUGCCAACCCCCCACUGCUCUUUGUCAGCUGGACCAAGGAUGGAAAGGCCCUGCAGCUGGACAAGUUCCCUGGCUGGUCCCAGGGCACAGAAGGCUCACUGAUCAUCGCCCUGGGGAACGAGGAUGCCCUGGGAGAAUACUCCUGCACCCCCUACAACAGUCUUGGUACCGCCGGGCCCUCUCCUGUGACCCGCGUGCUGCUCAAGGCUCCCCCAGCUUUUAUAGAGCGGCCCAAGGAAGAAUAUUUCCAAGAAGUAGGGCGGGAGCUGCUCAUCCCCUGCUCCGCCCAAGGGGACCCUCCUCCUGUUGUCUCUUGGACCAAGGUGGGCCGGGGGCUGCAAGGCCAGGCCCAGGUGGACAGCAACAGCAGCCUCAUCCUGCGACCAUUGACCAAGGAGGCCCACGGGCACUGGGAAUGCAGUGCCAGCAAUGCUGUGGCCCGAGUGGCCACCUCCACGAACGUCUACGUGCUGGGGCCAAGCGUCCUGACCGAAUGCACCAUGACUGGGUGUCCUUGGCAGUGCCUGUGGGGGCUGCUCACCUCCUAGUGCCAGGGCUGCAGCCCCACACCCAGUACCAGUUCAGCGUGCUAGCUCAGAACAAGCUGGGGAGUGGUCCCUUCAGCGAAAUCGUCUUGUCUGCUCCUGAAGGGCUUCCUACCACGCCAGCUGCACCCAGGCUUCCCCCAACAGAGAUACCGCCUCCCCUGUCCCCUCCGCGGGGUCUGGUGGCAGUGAGGACACCCCGGGGGGUACUCCUGCAUUGGGAUCCCCCAGAGCUGGUCCCUAAGAGACUGGAUGGCUACGUCUUGGAAGGCCGGCAAGGCUCCCAGGGCUGGGAGGUGCUGGACCCGGCUGUGGCAGGCACAGAAACAGAGCUGCUGGUGCCAGGCCUCAUCAAGGAUGUUCUCUACGAGUUCCGCCUCGUGGCCUUCGCGGGCAGCUUCGUCAGCGACCCCAGCAACACGGCCAACGUAUCCACUUCCGCUCCCGGGUCUCCUGCCCCAGCCCGUGCUGGCCGGCGUGGUGGGCGGAGUCUGCUUUCUGGGCGUGGCCGUUCUUGUGAGCAUCCUGGCCGCCUGCCUCAUGAACCGGCGCAGGGCUGCCCGCCGCCGCCGCAAGCGCCUCCGCCAAGAUCCACCUCUUAUCUUCUCUCCGACCGGGAAGUCAGCUGCACCCUCUGCUCUGGGCUCAGGCAGUCCUGACAGCGUGGCGAAGCUGAAGCUCCAGGGAUCCCCAGUCCCCAGCCUGCGCCAGAGUCUGCUCUGGGGGGAUCCUGCCGGAACUCCCAGCCCCCACCCGGAUCCUCCAUCUAGCCGGGGACCCUUACCUCUGGAGCCCAUUUGCCGGGGCCCAGACGGGCGCUUUGUGAUGGGGCCCACUGUGGCGGCCCCCCAGGAAAGGUCAGGCCGGGAGAAGGCAGAACCUCGGACUCCAGCCCAGCGUCUGGCCCGGUCCUUUGACUGUAGCAGCAGCAGCCCCAGUGGGGCACCCCAGCCCCUCUGCAUUGAAGACAUCAGCCCUGUGGCACCCCCUCCAGCAGCCCCACCCAGUCCCUUGCCAGGUCCCGGACCCCUGCUCCAGUACCUGAGCCUGCCCUUCUUCCGAGAGAUGAAUGUGGAUGGGGACUGGCCCCCUCUUGAGGAGCCCAGCCCUGCUGCACCCCCAGAUUACAUGGAUACCCGGCGCUGUCCCACCUCAUCUUUCCUUCGUUCUCCAGACACCCCUCCUGUAUCCCCCAGGGAAUCACUUCCUGGGGCUGUGGUAGGGGCUGGGGCCACCGCAGAGCCCCCUUACACAGCCCUGGCUGACUGGACACUGAGGGAGCGGCUGCUGCCAGGCCUUCUCCCUGCUGCCCCUCGAGGCAGCCUCACCAGCCAGAGCAGCGGGCGAGGCAGCGCUUCGUUCCUGCGGCCCCCCUCCACAGCCCCCUCUGCAGGAGGCAGCUACCUCAGCCCUGCUCCAGGAGACACCAGCAGCUGGGCCAGUGGCCCUGAGAGAUGGCCCCGAAGGGAGCAUGUGGUGACAGUCAGCAAGAGGAGGAACACAUCUGUGGACGAGAACUAUGAGUGGGACUCAGAAUUCCCUGGGGACAUGGAAUUGCUGGAGACUUUGCACCUGGGCUUGGCCAGCUCCCGGCUCAGACCUGAAGCUGAGCCAGAGCUAGGUGUGAAGACUCCAGAGGAGGGCUGCCUCCUGAACACUGCCCAUGUUACUGGCCCUGAGGCCCGCUGUGCUGCCCUUCGGGAGGAAUUCCUGGCCUUCCGCCGCCGCCGAGAUGCUACUAGGGCUCGGCUACCAGCCUAUCGACAGCCAGUCCCCCACCCCGAACAGGCCACUCUGCUGUGAACAUCCCUAAUGUGAGGCUGUGAAAAGGCAUAUGGACCUGCAAAGGAGGCCCCCAACCAGACAGACCUAGUUUCAAAUGAGGGCACUGCCCCUGCCUGCCCCUUUGGUGCCCAGGCACAGACCCUGAUAGUGGGCUUGGGUCACCUUGGUAUGGAAUGUAUGUGCUGACCCCCUAGGUGAGUCUGGGGAUUGGAACAGGGACCUUAGGUCUGCCUCUCUCUCUCUCUCUCUGUAUGUGUGCGUGUGUGUGUGUGUGUGUGUGAAGUUUUUUACAGGUGAAUAAACAAAGUUUGAAAGAUG
This 3882-nucleotide small RNA is filed under the name Pan troglodytes (chimpanzee). Its description in RNAcentral is "processed transcript". The record is from RNAcentral. Lineage: Eukaryota; Metazoa; Chordata; Mammalia; Primates; Hominidae.